Molecule: ribosomal RNA, 403 nt
Filed under: uncultured bacterium
Lineage: Bacteria
Description: bacterial SSU rRNA
Rfam family: Bacterial small subunit ribosomal RNA
Source: RNAcentral
UGGGGAAUAUUGGACAAUGGGCGCAAGCCUGAUCCAGCAAUGCCGCGUGGGUGAAGAAGGUCUUCGGAUUGUAAAGCCCUUUCGACGGGGACGAUGAUGACGGUACCCGUAGAAGAAGCCCCGGCUAACUUCGUGCCAGCAGCCGCGGUAAUACGAAGGGGGCUAGCGUUGCUCGGAAUUACUGGGCGUAAAGGGCGCGUAGGCGGCACUGUUAGUCAGGCGUGAAAGUCCUGGGCUCAACCUGGGAACUGCGCUUGAUACGGCAGAGCUAGAGGAUGGAAGAGGGUCGCGGAAUUCCCAGUGUAGAGGUGAAAUUCGUAGAUAUUGGGAAGAACACCGGUGGCGAAGGCGGCGACCUGGUCCAUUACUGACGCUGAGGCGCGACAGCGUGGGGAGCAAACAG